UCAUGUUGGAUAUGUUGAACCUCAUCUUCUACAAAAAAAACUUGCAAACGAUAGAGAUUAGUUGUAUGGAUAAAAAUAAUGUUGCGAUGAUGUGUUUGAAAUAUUGUCUUUUGCACUUUUUGUUGGAUAGUGGAAUGCUCUGAAAUGUUGUGUACGUGAAUUUUUUUUCAUGUUGCAUUGGGCAUUUUGUUUGCUGCAACAAUCAAAUGCCUUUAAAAUUGCGAUUCAAGUCAGAUCGGACUGCAGGUGUGGACACUUCUUAGCACAUCCCGUUGUUUUUAGCCGGAAGUUUACCAUCUGGUCGAACAGAGAGAGAAGAAGGCUAAACUAUCCCUUUAAGUGAAGGGUCAGACUCCUACAAAGAACAGAGCCUCUGUAAGGUUACCCGGUUUGGCGGCGACUCCAGGCAACCUACUGAACCGAGUCCUCAAUCCUAUGCUGUAUGACUUUACAUAGGAGAUCGAGUAGCGUCUGAGAAGAUUGAUGACGGUUUCAUUGUGCUUAGCGCUCGGAAGGUAAAAUGUGCAAGUGUGGUCCUGUGGCUCCAGUCCUUAGGUAGAUACACACGCCGCGCGUGCACUGCUUUGUCCCGUGGACAAGCACAAGCCUGCAAAAAAAAAAAAUCGAUCGAAUCCACGUGUGCACGCCAAGCAAAAUACAUCUUUUUACGGGCAAAUAAUACAUCAUCAGCUACCGUGUCCGUAAUAUUGUGCUCCUAGAUCGGCAAACCGCGUCUUCCCCCUGGAUUCUACUCCACUAGGCACACAAGCACAAGCAGGCAAACGACUACGCCUCACUUAGCGCACGGACGCAUAAGAUAAUGGGAUUAUCCCUUCAAAGUCCAGCCCGCACGGUUCGUCGCCGGGGGCAGCGAUUUUAGUUUUCUCCGGGGCUGUCGGGCGUUGCGGUGAUCGAGCACCGCCGCCGCCUUUCACCGACUACUAAUCUUCCCCGCCGAAUUGUUAAUCGCGUUGAAACAAUGCUGGC
This 987-nucleotide long non-coding RNA is filed under the name Brachypodium distachyon (stiff brome). RNAcentral's name for it is "long non-coding RNA (BDIS_LNC002675)". Lineage: Eukaryota; Viridiplantae; Streptophyta; Magnoliopsida; Poales; Poaceae. The record is from RNAcentral.